This 820-nucleotide long non-coding RNA is filed under the name Cottoperca gobio. RNAcentral's name for it is "lncRNA (ENSCGOG00000024674.1)". The record is from RNAcentral. Lineage: Eukaryota; Metazoa; Chordata; Actinopteri; Perciformes; Bovichtidae.
UCUAGCUCCUGCAUACCCUUGUGUUUACCCGCUCAGUGGGCUGGUGCCACCGCCUCCCGCUGCUUCUACACUUUUUCAUUGCUCCCUCCAACACACCUGUGAACCUGCUCUCCUUUGAUGCCCAUGGGGGCUUUGCUGUGAUCACUCCCGGUGCUCUUAUCUGCUGCUCAAUAUGUUUUUACAAGGAGUGAUAAGACACACAGCACUGGUGCCAAAUCACCGUCCCAGAUGUCCGUGGAGGAAGGAAGCAAAUGCUGACAACAAUGAAGUAAACGAGUCCACCGGUGUAGCAGCAACUUUUGGCACGGACGAUAGCUUGCCUUACAGGGAAAACAGCUUUCCGCAGAAGCCUAAGCAUAUGGUCGGCUCCUGUUUCGACAACAAGAUGCCGUGUCACCUUGCUAGCCACCUGUAGCCGGCGACCAGCCGACAGAGAGGGGGAUUUAAGCAGCAGACAUUGACGGAUUGAGGCUGUGAACCAGUGAUGGACAUCCAUUGCGGCUGUUCGGGGGGUCUCCUGCUGAAGCCAAGCUGUUUGUUUUCCGUCCUGCUCCUGAUCAAUUGACCCCGUGUUGGCCUCUCCGGUGGCAGGGAAUUCAAAUAAAAUGUGGGCAAUGCAACACGUCGGUUUCUAAGAACCACAAAAGAUUUGACUUGCUGCUAAUUGUGGUACAAUAACAGCAUUCAAAAUGUUCCAAAAAACAAUCAAACACAAGUUGAAUCUCUGUUAUCUUUUUGUUUUGUUGUUUUUUUCUGAGAAAAUGUGGACAUGGCUGCUUUCAAUUUCUAUUAAGAGACAAAUCAAAGUAGUUUUGAAGGC